AUUGAACGCUGGCGGCAUGCUUUACACAUGCAAGUCGAACGGCAGCGCGGGCUUCGGCCUGGCGGCGAGUGGCGAACGGGUGAGUAAUACAUCGGAACGUGCCCAGUAGUGGGGGAUAGCUCGGCGAAAGCCGGAUUAAUACCGCAUACGACCUGAGGGUGAAAGCGGGGGAUCUUCAGACCUCGCGCUAUUGGAGCGGCCGAUGGCAGAUUAGCUAGUUGGUGGGGUAAAGGCCUACCAAGGCGACGAUCUGUAGCUGGUCUGAGAGGACGACCAGCCACACUGGGACUGAGACACGGCCCAGACUCCUACGGGAGGCAGCAGUGGGGAAUUUUGGACAAUGGGCGAAAGCCUGAUCCAGCAAUGCCGCGUGUGUGAUGAAGGCCUUCGGGUUGUAAAGCACUUUUGGCGGGAACGAAAAGGACUGUGCCAAUACCACGGUUCGAUGACGGUACCCGCAGAAUAAGCACCGGCUAACUACGUG
RNAcentral lists this ribosomal RNA (484 nucleotides) under uncultured bacterium. RNAcentral describes it as "partial 16S ribosomal RNA". It matches the Rfam family "Bacterial small subunit ribosomal RNA", at positions 29 to 507 of the family's 1533-position model. The record is from RNAcentral.